RNAcentral lists this long non-coding RNA (872 nucleotides) under Aquilegia coerulea. RNAcentral describes it as "long non-coding RNA (ACOE_LNC001046)". Lineage: Eukaryota; Viridiplantae; Streptophyta; Magnoliopsida; Ranunculales; Ranunculaceae. The record is from RNAcentral.
UUUUUUAGGAAUAAGUUAAGGUUCUCUCUACUUCUCUCCUUUUCUCUCGUGAAGAAAAUUGCAACAGCUUCUGUAACCUUCAAUCCUAACGUGGUUUUCUUCUUCUUUUUAAAUUGAAAUGUUUUAUGGAUUUUUGUUGCUUUGGUAAAUGAUUAUAAUUCUGAAUUCACCAUCAAAUUACAUGAAAUAAAAUUCAAUUUUAAAGAUGUCACAUUCCAGUCAUUUAAAUUCGUAAAUAAUUUUUUCUAUGCAAUCAUGUACUUGGUUUGAAAUGGGGUUUGUCCACACUUUUUUUUUAUCUGCUUUGAAUUUAAACCAUGUAAUUUAUUAUUGGGUUUUGUAUGGAUAAAUGAGUGUGCAGCUAGUGAUGGAAAAAGAUUAAUUUUUUCAGCGAAAAAAGCUCAAUUAGCAUGAACCCAUUCCUUGUAUCAGUAAGCUGGUCGGUAUAGUGGGAACAUCUUCAUUCUAUUGUUUUGCUGUUGUUUCUUGAUUGUAUAGUUUGUACUUGUGAUCUAGUAUGGCUUAUAAUGGUUUUCAUGGUUAGAUGUGUUGAUAAAGUUGAAUUCAUGGUUCCCCAUUCCGGCCGAUCCUCUUAAGUUGAAAAGAUCUGAAUUUUGUUAAUAUAGAUUAUCUGUUCAUCAUUGUUGAUUUCCAUUGUUUAUGGCUCGAAUUAUUGUGGUGUUGAUAUGGGGACUACGGACUACCUCUUGUCAAUGCAAGGCAGUUGAUGUAAUUACAGUUCAUGUGAGUAAUCUUUUAGUGUAAUUAGAUUUUUCGCAUAUAUUUCCCUUUCUAUAAUGUUGUCAAAUAUGAUAAUUUGUUGAACAUUCAGGAAAAUGUUGAGAUGCAUGGGAGAUCCAGAAACAGAGAUC